GCCUCCCUGGUGUAGUGGUCAGCACGCUCGACGCGUAACCGAGAGGUCCGUGGUUCGAUUCCCGGCGAAAGCG
RNAcentral lists this transfer RNA (73 nucleotides) under Stegodyphus mimosarum. It matches the Rfam family "tRNA". From Rfam's summary of the family: Transfer RNA (tRNA) molecules are approximately 80 nucleotides in length. Their secondary structure includes four short double-helical elements and three loops (D, anti-codon, and T loops). Lineage: Eukaryota; Metazoa; Arthropoda; Arachnida; Araneae; Eresidae. The record is from Rfam by way of RNAcentral.